UACGUAGGUGGCAAGCGUUGUCCGGAUUUAUUGGGUUUAAAGGGUGCGUAGGCGGCUUUGUAAGUCAGUGGUGAAAUAUGGCAGCUUAACUGUCAGGGUGCCAUUGACACUGCGGAGCUUGAGUACAGAUGAGGUAGGCGGAAUUGACGGUGUAGCGGUGAAAUGCUUAGAUAUCGUCAAGAACACCUAUAGCGAAGGCAGCUUACUAGGCUGUAACUGACAUUGAGGCACGAAAGCGUGGGGAGCAAAACGG
This 253-nucleotide ribosomal RNA is filed under the name uncultured bacterium. RNAcentral's name for it is "partial 16S ribosomal RNA". It matches the Rfam family "Bacterial small subunit ribosomal RNA", at positions 524 to 776 of the family's 1533-position model. The record is from RNAcentral.